CGCAGUUAAGUUGACUGCUUGGGGAGUCCGGUSGCAAGAUUAAAAYUCAAAGGAAUUGACGGGGGCCCGCACAAGCGGUGGAGCAUGUGGUUUAAUUUGAUGCAACGGGAAGAACCUUCCCUACCCUUGACAUACAGGGAACCUGGCAGAGAGGUUGGGGUUCUUUGGGGAGCAUUAAAACAGUUGGUUCAUGGCCGUCCUCACCUUGUUUCCCGAGAUGUGGGGUUAAGUCCCGUAACGAGCGCAACCCUCAUUCUUAGUUGCCAGAGCGGGAAGGCGGGGAUUCUAAGGAGAUUCCCGGUGACAAACCGGAGGAGGGUGGGGAUGACGUCAAGUCAUCAUUGCCCUUACGGGUAGGGUUACACCCGUGCUCCAAUGUCCGGUACAGAGGGCGGUGAAGCGCCGACGCGGAGCAAAUCCUUUAAAUCUUGUCGUAGCCCGGAUCGGAGUUUUCAACUAGACUCCUUGAAGUCGGAAUCGCUAGUAAUCGCGAAUCAUCAUGUCGCGGUGAAUAUUUCCCGGGCCUUGUACACACCUCCCGUCACCCCAUG
This 551-nucleotide ribosomal RNA is filed under the name Legionella londiniensis. RNAcentral describes it as "bacterial SSU rRNA". It matches the Rfam family "Bacterial small subunit ribosomal RNA", at positions 856 to 1406 of the family's 1533-position model. The record is from RNAcentral. Lineage: Bacteria; Pseudomonadati; Pseudomonadota; Gammaproteobacteria; Legionellales; Legionellaceae.